GAUGAACGCUGGCGGCGUGCCUAAUACAUGCAAGUCGAGCGAAUGGAUUAAGAGCUUGCUCUUAUGAAGUUAGCGGCGGACGGGUGAGUAACACGUGGGUAACCUGCCCAUAAGACUGGGAUAACUCCGGGAAACCGGGGCUAAUACCGGAUAACAUUUUGAACCGCAUGGUUCGAGAUUGAAAGGCGGCUUCGGCUGUCACUUAUGGAUGGACCCGCGUCGCAUUAGCUAGUUGGUGAGGUAACGGCGCACCAAGGCAACGAUGCGUAGCCGACCUGAGCGAGGGAUCGGCCACACUUGGACUGAGACACGGCCAAGACUCCUACGGGAAGCGGCAGUAGGGAAUCUUCCGCAAGGGACGAAAGUCUAACGGAGCAACGCCGCGUGAGUGAUGAAGGCUUUCGGGUCGUUAAACUCUGUUGUUAGGGAAGAACAAGUGCUAGUUGAAUAAGCUGGCACCUUGACGGUACCUAACCAGAAAGCCACGGCUAACUACGUGCCAGCCGCCGCGGUAA
This 515-nucleotide ribosomal RNA is filed under the name uncultured bacterium. RNAcentral describes it as "partial 16S ribosomal RNA". It matches the Rfam family "Bacterial small subunit ribosomal RNA", at positions 28 to 523 of the family's 1533-position model. The record is from RNAcentral.